Molecule: long non-coding RNA, 400 nt
Organism: Amphiprion ocellaris (clown anemonefish)
Lineage: Eukaryota; Metazoa; Chordata; Actinopteri; Pomacentridae
Source: Ensembl
GAUUCAGCAAGUUGAUCCAGAAAGAAGCAACACCUGAGCAACCUACAGGACCACCUGAUUUCUUUGUACUGCCACGACAUGGACAAGCGAAAGCGAGACGACAGCCCAGCAGCCCACCAGGAGCGUCCAGCCAAGCGGCCCUGCACCACCUCUGGCUCUCAGCAUGGAGGCCAGGAACCAUCCCAGCCGGAGGUACAUGCUGCCCAGCCAGAAAGGAGCACCAGCCCCCAGCCGUCCACCUCUGGCUCACAGCACGACCCUCCAGAGCCAGAGCUAAGUACCAUCCCCCUGCUGUCCACCUCAGACUCAGAUUCAGACUAUGAUUCAGAUUCUGAUAUAGAGGUAGAUUUAGAUUUGGAUUCAGACUCUGACUCUGAUUUCCAGGACGAGAGGAGCUCCA